AUACGGAGGACGCGAGCGUUAUCCGGAUUCAUUGGGUUUAAAGGGUGCGCAGGCGGGUGAUUAAGUCGGCGGUGAAAUUUUGCAGCUCAACUGUAAAAGGGCCUUCGAAACUGGUUUCCUUGAGUGCAGAAGAAGUAGGCGGAAUUUGUGGUGUAGCGGUGAAAUGCAUAGAUAUCACGAGGAACUCCGAUUGCGCAGGCAACGUACUAAACUACGACUGACGCUCAGGCACGAAGGCGUGGGGAUCAAACAGGAUUAGAUACCCUGGUAGUCCACGCAGUAAACGAUGAUUGCUAGCUGUUUGCGAUACAAUGUAAGCGGCUGAGCGAAAGCGUUAAGUAAUCCGCCUGGGGAGUACGUUCGCAAGAAUGAAACUCAAAGGAAUUGACGGGG
RNAcentral lists this ribosomal RNA (393 nucleotides) under uncultured bacterium. RNAcentral's name for it is "partial 16S ribosomal RNA". It matches the Rfam family "Bacterial small subunit ribosomal RNA", at positions 523 to 918 of the family's 1533-position model. The record is from RNAcentral.